GAGAGUUUGAUCCUGGCUCAGGACGAACGCUGGCGGCGUGCCUAAUACAUGCAAGUCGUACGCUUCUUUUUCCACCGGAGCUUGCUCCACCGGAAAAAGAAGAGUGGCGAACGGGUGAGUAACACGUGGGUAACCUGCCCAUCAGAAGGGGAUAACACUUGGAAACAGGUGCUAAUACCGUAUAACAAUCGAAACCGCAUGGUUUUGAUUUGAAAGGCGCUUUCGGGUGUCGCUGAUGGAUGGACCCGCGGUGCAUUAGCUAGUUGGUGAGGUAACGGCUCACCAAGGCCACGAUGCAUAGCCGACCUGAGAGGGUGAUCGGCCACAUUGGGACUGAGACACGGCCCAAACUCCUACGGGAGGCAGCAGUAGGGAAUCUUCGGCAAUGGACGAAAGUCUGACCGAGCAACGCCGCGUGAGUGAAGAAGGUUUUCGGAUCGUAAAACUCUGUUGUUAGAGAAGAACAAGGAUGAGAGUAACUGUUCAUCCCUUGACGGUAUCUAACCAGAAAGCCACGGCUAACUACGUGCCAGCAGCCGCGGUAAUACGUAGGUGGCAAGCGUUGUCCGGAUUUAUUGGGCGUAAAGCGAGCGCAGGCGGUUUCUUAAGUCUGAUGUGAAAGCCCCCGGCUCAAC
Molecule: ribosomal RNA, 635 nt
Filed under: Enterococcus faecium
Lineage: Bacteria; Bacillati; Bacillota; Bacilli; Lactobacillales; Enterococcaceae
Description: bacterial SSU rRNA
Rfam family: Bacterial small subunit ribosomal RNA
Source: RNAcentral